UUGAAGAGUUUGAUCAUGGCUCAGAUUGAACGCUGGCGGCAGGCCUAACACAUGCAAGUCGAACGGUAACAGGAAGCAGCUUGCUGCUUUGCUGACGAGUGGCGGACGGGUGAGUAAUGUCUGGGAAACUGCCUGAUGGAGGGGGAUAACUACUGGAAACGGUAGCUAAUACCGCAUAAUGUCGCAAGACCAAAGAGGGGGACCUUCGGGCCUCUUGCCAUCGGAUGUGCCCAGAUGGGAUUAGCUAGUAGGUGGGGUAACGGCUCACCUAGGCGACGAUCCCUAGCUGGUCUGAGAGGAUGACCAGCCACACUGGAACUGAGACACGGUCCAGACUCCUACGGGAGGCAGCAGUGGGGAAUAUUGCACAAUGGGCGCAAGCCUGAUGCAGCCAUGCCGCGUGUAUGAAGAAGGCCUUCGGGUUGUAAAGUACUUUCAGCGGGGAGGAAGGCGAUAAGGUUAAUAACCUUGUCGAUUGACGUUACCCGCAGAAGAAGCACCGGCUAACUCCGUGCCAGCAGCCGCGGUAAUACGGAGGGUGCAAGCGUUAAUCGGAAUUACUGGGCGUAAAGCGCACGCAGGCGGUCUGUCAAGUCGGAUGUGAAAUCCCCGGGCUCAACCUGGGAACUGCAUUCGAAACUGGCAGGCUAGAGUCUUGUAGAGGGGGGUAGAAUUCCAGGUGUAGCGGUGAAAUGCGUAGAGAUCUGGAGGAAUACCGGUGGCGAAGGCGGCCCCCUGGACAAAGACUGACGCUCAGGUGCGAAAGCGUGGGGAGCAAACAGGAUUAGAUACCCUGGUAGUCCACGCCGUAAACGAUGUCGACUUGGAGGUUGUGCCCUUGAGGCGUGGCUUCCGGAGCUAACGCGUUAAGUCGACCGCCUGGGGAGUACGGCCGCAAGGUUAAAACUCAAAUGAAUUGACGGGGGCCCGCACAAGCGGUGGAGCAUGUGGUUUAAUUCGAUGCAACGCGAAGAACCUUACCUACUCUUGACAUCCAGAGAACUUUCCAGAGAUGGAUUGGUGCCUUCGGGAACUCUGAGACAGGUGCUGCAUGGCUGUCGUCAGCUCGUGUUGUGAAAUGUUGGGUUAAGUCCCGCAACGAGCGCAACCCUUAUCCUUUGUUGCCAGCGGUUAGGCCGGGAACUCAAAGGAGACUGCCAGUGAUAAACUGGAGGAAGGUGGGGAUGACGUCAAGUCAUCAUGGCCCUUACGAGUAGGGCUACACACGUGCUACAAUGGCGCAUACAAAGAGAAGCGACCUCGCGAGAGCAAGCGGACCUCAUAAAGUGCGUCGUAGUCCGGAUUGGAGUCUGCAACUCGACUCCAUGAAGUCGGAAUCGCUAGUAAUCGUGGAUCAGAAUGCCACGGUGAAUACGUUCCCGGGCCUUGUACACACCGCCCGUCACACCAUGGGAGUGGGUUGCAAAAGAAGUAGGUAGCUUAACCUUCGGGAGGGCGCUUACCACUUUGUGAUUCAUGACUGGGGUGAAGUCGUAACAAGGUAACCGUAGGGGAACCUGCGGUUGGAUCACCUCCUU
RNAcentral lists this ribosomal RNA (1538 nucleotides) under Enterobacter hormaechei. Its description in RNAcentral is "bacterial SSU rRNA". It matches the Rfam family "Bacterial small subunit ribosomal RNA". Lineage: Bacteria; Pseudomonadati; Pseudomonadota; Gammaproteobacteria; Enterobacterales; Enterobacteriaceae. The record is from RNAcentral.